AUACGGAAGGUCCUGGCGUUAUCCGGAUUUAUUGGGUUUAAAGGGAGCGCAGGCCGGUGUGUAAGCGUGACGUCAAAUACAGCCGCUCGACGGUUGUCCGCGUCGCGACCUGCACGCCUUGAGUACGCUGCAAGUGGGCGGAAUUCGUGGUGUAGCGGUGAAAUGCUUAGAUAUCACGAAGAACUCCGAUUGCGAAGGCAGCCCGCUGUCGCGUGACUGACGCUGAGGCUCGAAGGUGCGGGUAUCGAACAGGAUUAGAUACCCUGGUAGUCCGCACUGUAAACGAUGGACACCCGCUGUGUGGCCUGUUAUGGUUGCGCGGCCAAGCGAAAGCAUUAAGUGUCCCACCUGGGGAGUACGCCGGCAACGGUGAAACUCAAAUGAAUUGACGGGG
RNAcentral lists this ribosomal RNA (394 nucleotides) under uncultured bacterium. RNAcentral's name for it is "partial 16S ribosomal RNA". It matches the Rfam family "Bacterial small subunit ribosomal RNA", at positions 523 to 918 of the family's 1533-position model. The record is from RNAcentral.